This is a long non-coding RNA of Dioscorea cayenensis subsp. rotundata (Guinea yam), 565 nucleotides long. RefSeq lists it as uncharacterized. The record is from RefSeq and is a predicted model, not a curated record. The transcript has 3 exons. Lineage: Eukaryota; Viridiplantae; Streptophyta; Magnoliopsida; Dioscoreales; Dioscoreaceae.
GGCUUUAGACCAUCAUCGAGUGUCUGAAAUUGUCUUGUACUCUCCUCGCCACCUCCGGGUCCAGCUAAAUCUUCAUUCACAAUCCCAAGGAAACUCAUGGCUCGAGGAUCAAAAAGUUUGAAGAUUAUGGAGCUACUAGAAGCUCAUACUUCUUCACAUCAUGAAUCAACUGGGCAAGAAAAUGAUGCUAGUACACAAGAAAAACAGUCCCGACAUAGAGGAAAGACAGUAAUGGCAAAUGUCUGGACAUCAAUGGAAAAAUUUAUAAUUAAAGUAGAUAAAUAUGGAGUCCCCUGCACCAAAGAUGCUGCCACACUAAGUUCUUUCCUUGGUGUGCUUGCAAAGAAUGGCGCGUAUGCUCCAAUUAACAUUCCUAAUUGGAGACAUGAAGAUUUUACUCCAUACAAAGCGAAAUGUCUAAAACUCCUAAUGACAAAAUUUGAUUUUCCUCAUACACAAGAGACGGUUACAUGGAUUUUGCAAAAUCUAAACAAGAGAUGGCGAGAUUGGAAAGGUGACUUGAAGGCCGAAUUUUACAUUCCAAAAGAAAAAGAACGAGUUUUAG